This 474-nucleotide ribosomal RNA is filed under the name Eucypris virens. RNAcentral describes it as "partial 16S ribosomal RNA". It matches the Rfam family "Bacterial large subunit ribosomal RNA", at positions 1829 to 2597 of the family's 2925-position model. The record is from RNAcentral. Lineage: Eukaryota; Metazoa; Arthropoda; Ostracoda; Podocopida; Cyprididae.
UUUCUUUAGAUAAAUUUAAAGGUAAUGCCUGCUCAAUGAAUAUUAAAUUGCCGCAGUAUUAUGACUGUGCUAAGGUAGCAUAAUAAUUUGUCUUUUAAAUGGGGACUGGAAUGAAAGGUUUUAUGGGGAUGUAUUAAUGAUUUAAUAAACUUUUGAAGUUAAGGUUUUAGUUAAAAUUCUUAAGCUUAUUUGAGGGACGAGAAGACCCUGUGGAUCUUUAUUUUACCGAUAAUAACUUACUAUAAAUGUUUUAUUAUCAAAAAAAUUUGAUUGGGACGAUUAUUAUUUUGACAUAAUUUUUAGGUUUUAUUUUGAUCCUUUAGAAGGAAUUAAGAUUAAGUUACCCCAGGGAUAACAGCGUUAUAUUAUUGGAUAGUUCAUAUUGAUAAUAAUGUUUGCGACCUCGAUGUUGAAUUAAAAUUUCUUUUUAAAGCAGAAGUUAAAUUAGUAAGUCUGUUCGACUUUUAAAAUUUU